RNAcentral lists this long non-coding RNA (214 nucleotides) under Prunus dulcis (almond). Its description in RNAcentral is "sRNA ncRNA". Lineage: Eukaryota; Viridiplantae; Streptophyta; Magnoliopsida; Rosales; Rosaceae. The record is from RNAcentral.
AGAACGUGAAGGUAAAAAAUCCUACAUUGAAAAGUUGAGAAACCUAGCAAGGGCUUAUAAGGAGUUGGGUUACUCCCCCCACACACGCCCCCGCACGUGUGGCGAAUUUUCAAGCCUAACACGUGGACAACACAUUUUGGGUGACGUGGAACACGUGUGGCCGUUGGGCUUUCACAUGUGGGCAACCCGCUCUGAUACCAUGAAGGAAGUUGAG